UCCCUGGUGGCUCAGAUGGUAAAGAAUCUGCCUGCAAUGCAGGAGACCUGGGUUCGAUCCCUGGGUGGGGAA
RNAcentral lists this transfer RNA (72 nucleotides) under Muntiacus reevesi (Reeves' muntjac). It matches the Rfam family "tRNA". Rfam says of the family: Transfer RNA (tRNA) molecules are approximately 80 nucleotides in length. Their secondary structure includes four short double-helical elements and three loops (D, anti-codon, and T loops). Lineage: Eukaryota; Metazoa; Chordata; Mammalia; Artiodactyla; Cervidae. The record is from Rfam by way of RNAcentral. RNAcentral also lists the same sequence under 6 other names.